Gavialis gangeticus (Gharial) is the source of this 156-nucleotide long non-coding RNA. RefSeq lists it as uncharacterized. The transcript has 2 exons. The record is from RefSeq and is a predicted model, not a curated record. Lineage: Eukaryota; Metazoa; Chordata; Crocodylia; Gavialidae.
GGAGCAGUUUGUGGGCAGAGAGCAGAUUGAAAUCUAACAGAGCUUGCCUAUAAGAAGGGCCCCUUUCCUGAUGCACGGAGAAAGGCUAAAGUAGGCAAUUGCAGAUGCUGUCUAUGGGCCAAGCACACAAGAAGCUAUCUCUCUGAGGUCUGAGGA